This 183-nucleotide unclassified non-coding RNA is filed under the name uncultured Ascomycota. RNAcentral describes it as "sequence contains ITS1". Lineage: Eukaryota; Fungi; Ascomycota. The record is from RNAcentral.
CCAAUAUGAAAGCGGGUGGGGAACCACAGAAACAUGGGCUCCGGCUUGCGUUUUUGCCCUAUCCUGCUGAAUAUUCACCCAUGUCUUUUGCGUACUACUUGUUUCCUUGGUGGGCUUGCCCACCAAUAGGACAACACUAAACCUUUUGUAAUUGCAAUCAGCGUCAGAAAAACUUAAUAGUUA